AAUGCCAUGUGGACAGAGGUCGAGGCUGGCCACCUGGUCUCUGGUACUUUGGGACGGCAGCCCUAGGCAACAAUGUAGAGCUGUUAAGCCAUGUGCCCACGGUCACACAGCCAGGUGGUCUCACAGCUACAUGUGUUCCGUGCUUGCAGCAGGGUGCUCCAGGGAAUGUGACAUGGUGAUGACUGCUGUUUCUAAUUACUGCCCUAUCAGGAGGCAGAGGAAGGAGCCAGCCUGGUGGGCCACUGAGGAAACGCUGACGUUCCUGAUUGUCGGGUAGCUGGGGCUGGUAGGGCCUGGCUGAUGCCUGCCUGGUCACUUGGGAGUGAGGACUUGCCUUUCCCCAAACAAACUCAACAUCUGAAUGAUUGACAAGGGCACAGCAAUCAAUAAGUCCUUAUUUCCUGAGCACCUAGUGUGCUCCUGGUUUUGUGCUAAGCACAGG
This 442-nucleotide long non-coding RNA is filed under the name Homo sapiens (human). RNAcentral's name for it is "HSALNT0377564". Lineage: Eukaryota; Metazoa; Chordata; Mammalia; Primates; Hominidae. The record is from RNAcentral.